RNAcentral lists this ribosomal RNA (253 nucleotides) under uncultured bacterium. Its description in RNAcentral is "partial 16S ribosomal RNA". It matches the Rfam family "Bacterial small subunit ribosomal RNA", at positions 524 to 776 of the family's 1533-position model. The record is from RNAcentral.
GACGUAGGGCGCAAGCGUUGUCCGGAUUUAUUGGGCGUAAAGAGCUCGUAGGCGGCUUGUUGCGUCUACCGUGAAAACCCGCGGCUCAACUGCGGGCUUGCGGUCGAUACGGGCAGGCUGGAGUUCGGUAGGGGAGACUGGAAUUCCUGGUGUAGCGGUGAAAUGCGCAGAUAUCAGGAGGAACACCGGUGGCGAAGGCGGGUCUCUGGGCCGAUACUGACGCUGAGGAGCGAAAGCGUGGGGAGCGAACAGG